UUACGCUGUUAUCCCUAAGGUAAUUUAAUCUUAUAAUCAAAAUCAAGGGAUCAGCCAAUUAUAAAUCAAUAUAACCAAAAUAAAGAGGAGUUAAAUUAUAUUCCUCUCAUCGCCCCAACAAAACAUAUAGGCCCACUUAAUUAAAUAAAACAAACAAUACACAAAAAUAGACCAAAUGUUAAACUCUAUAGGGUCUUCUCGUCCCAUAAAAACAUUUAAGAAUUUUAACUCAAAAACUAAAUUCAAUAAAACAUUCACCAACUUAAGACAGCUCGUAUCUCGUCAAGCCAUUCAUUCCAGAUCACAAUUAAAGAACUAAUGAUUAUGCUACCUUUGCACGGUCAAAAUACCGGGGCCCUUCAACACUCAGUCAGCGGGCAGGCCAUACUUCAAAAACUAACAAGAAAAGAUGUUUUUGAUAAACAGGCG
Molecule: ribosomal RNA, 429 nt
Filed under: Heterotermes convexinotatus
Lineage: Eukaryota; Metazoa; Arthropoda; Insecta; Blattodea; Rhinotermitidae
Description: partial 16S ribosomal RNA
Source: RNAcentral